RNAcentral lists this transfer RNA (74 nucleotides) under Manacus vitellinus (golden-collared manakin). It matches the Rfam family "tRNA". Rfam says of the family: Transfer RNA (tRNA) molecules are approximately 80 nucleotides in length. Their secondary structure includes four short double-helical elements and three loops (D, anti-codon, and T loops). Further hydrogen bonds mediate the characteristic L-shaped molecular structure. tRNAs have two regions of fundamental functional importance: the anti-codon, which is responsible for specific mRNA codon recognition, and the 3' end, to which the tRNAs corresponding amino acid is attached (by aminoacyl-tRNA synthetases). tRNAs cope with the degeneracy of the genetic code in two manners: having more than one tRNA (with a specific anti-codon) for a particular amino acid; and 'wobble' base-pairing, i.e. permitting non-standard base-pairing at the 3rd anti-codon position. Lineage: Eukaryota; Metazoa; Chordata; Aves; Passeriformes; Pipridae. The record is from Rfam by way of RNAcentral.
UUGAUGUUGGCUUAGUUGCUUUGAGCGUGGUGAUAAUGCUGCCAAGGUUGUGGGUUCAAUUCCCAUACAGCCAU